RNAcentral lists this ribosomal RNA (429 nucleotides) under uncultured bacterium. Its description in RNAcentral is "bacterial SSU rRNA". It matches the Rfam family "Bacterial small subunit ribosomal RNA", at positions 355 to 775 of the family's 1533-position model. The record is from RNAcentral.
UGGGGAAUAUUGGGCAAUGGGCGAAAGCCUGACCCAGCGACGCCGCGUGGGUGAUGAAGGCCUUCGGGUUAUAAAACCCUUUCGUGCGGAAAGAAUAGUCCUGUAGCGAAUAACUACGGGAUUUGACGGUACCGCAGGAAGAAGCGCCGGCUAACUCCGUGCCAGCAGCCGCGGUAAUACGGAGGGUGCAAGCGUUGUUCGGAAUUAUUGGGCGUAGAGGGCGCGUAGGUGGUUGUGAUAGUCAGAUGUGAAAUCCUUCGGCUCAACCGAAGAACUGCAUCUGAAACUUCAUAGCUCGGGUACAGGAGAGGGAAACGGAAUUCCCGGUGUAGAGGUGAAAUUCGUAGAUAUCGGGAGGAACACCAGUGGCGAAGGCGGUUUCCUGGCCUGAUACUGACGCUGAGGCGCGAAAGCGUGGGGAGCAAACAG